GGCUUAAUAGUCAAAAAUGAUUUUAAAUUGCAAAUUUAAAGGUAAAGUUUCUUUUUAAGCUU
This 62-nucleotide transfer RNA is filed under the name Semanotus bifasciatus. RNAcentral describes it as "tRNA-Cys". The record is from RNAcentral. Lineage: Eukaryota; Metazoa; Arthropoda; Insecta; Coleoptera; Cerambycidae.